GGGGCAGUAGCUCAAUUGGUAGAGCGUCCGCUUGGCGUGCGGGAGGUCAGGGGUUCAAAUCCCCUCUGCUCCA
RNAcentral lists this transfer RNA (73 nucleotides) under Elusimicrobia bacterium HGW-Elusimicrobia-1. Its description in RNAcentral is "tRNA-Ala". It matches the Rfam family "tRNA". From Rfam's summary of the family: Transfer RNA (tRNA) molecules are approximately 80 nucleotides in length. Their secondary structure includes four short double-helical elements and three loops (D, anti-codon, and T loops). Lineage: Bacteria; Pseudomonadati; Elusimicrobiota. The record is from RNAcentral.